Long non-coding RNA from Hirundo rustica (Barn swallow), 2580 nucleotides. RefSeq lists it as uncharacterized. The record is from RefSeq and is a predicted model, not a curated record. The transcript has 3 exons. NCBI's taxonomy places the organism in Eukaryota, Metazoa, Chordata, Aves, Passeriformes, Hirundinidae.
UACUGAAGUAAGCACCACAUACUUCAUUCUCAGAGAUCUCAGGGCAAGAGCCACACUAGUAUAAUUUACUAGAGGCCCUAAAAAUAAAGGAUUUCCUUUCUAAUGGUAUGAAAGAAUCAGUCAUUAGUUGUAGUUUCUGUCACAAGCGUGAGCAGCAAUAUCACUAAAUAGUACAGAGUCACUUUUUUUUUAAUACUGACUAUUAUUACUUGGGUUUUAAUGAGAAAAUUCUGUCUGCUGAGACACCAAGUUAUAAUCUUUCAAAUGAAACCAAGCUAACAACUAUUCCCAUGAGAAGACAAACCUGCAAGCACUAACUAAGUUAGUGGCUGUCAUGCUUCGCACUUAAUCUUGAAUAUGAUAGAUAGGGAGUGAAACUAAGAGGAAUAGUGAACAACAGAAGAAACCAUUCCUCUAACAUAACUGACUUGUGACAGUGCCUUGAACAUCUUUCUUUGCAUUCAAACCAAAGUAAGUUAAAGCAACUUAGUCCUUUGAAAGUGCCAAAUGUAAGAUUUGCACAGCUUUUUUCACCGUGAGAACUUCUAAGCCCAGACACCUGCAUCAGGCAGGUUCUCAGGGGGAACCCAAGUGAGGAAUAAAGAAGUCAGCCAGAGCAUUGCCAUGCUGCAGCAAGAGCAGGUCUGCAGCAGCUUGGGGCACUCACAGGGUUGAUCCCUGUUUGGUGGAGACAGCACCUACUCCUGUCACACAGAGAUAUGAGGUGCUUCACAGACCGAGCACCUAUUUGCAUGCCAGUGUCAGCAGAUUGCCACCUUGUCUUGUGCUGGUGGUCAGCGUUCAUGGAUUACCACUUUGCAGAGGUCCAAUACAGCUGACCAAGUUGCUAGGAGGACAGCAACCCAGCCAUUUCUACUGCUUAUAGACCAGCACCUUUCAACAUCUGAUUUCCAACAGAAAUGUGCCACAGCAUGAAACUUCAGCUGUGGAUGGCACAGAACCCACAAGCAUGUCUCUGUGCCACUAGCUUUCAUCCCUAGCCUGUGCCAUCCCUACAGCAGCGGUAAGCCAGUCUCAGACCUAUGCUCAACAACAGAGGCUUGUGUGGUGCUGACUGAAUGCAUGUUUUUCGUUCUUUGCGGUUUUCUAGAGAGUAUGGAAGUUUGUUUUCUUCCAAUUCGAAAGCAGAUCGAAGAUACUCAGCAUCUCCAUUUCUCUUGAGGAUGAAGUUCCUGGAAUGGUUGAGCAUUGAGGAGCUGCAAGUGCUUGCCCAAAAGGUGUUCAUGUACACAGAUGUGAAUGGAGAGCAGAUCACAAAGGACAAAAUGGAUAACAACACAUCCAGAUGCCUGGUCAUUGAAGAGCGUGACCUGCUGGCACGGUGGCACCUUCAGCUGCACAUUCCUUUCCAUCCUUUUCUGCUUUAAUUUGUUUGGCUGGAUGACUCUCACAGAGCUGCCUGCAGAUUUCUUAAGACUCGAGUGGAAGGGAACUUGGAAACUGGUCGCUUGACUCAAAGAUGAACAGAUAUACAGGAAACUGGCCCGUGGUGCUGGUGCAGGAGGGCCUGAACUUGCCAAAUCCUUGGUCAGUAGUCAUGUGCUACAUUCCUCUGAAGACUGGGAGAAAAGCACAAACCUCAGCACCAUCUUCUUGGGAUUGCCCUCUGCAAAGGAAAACAGCAGCCCAGCAGCUGGUGGUCCCCACCUUUUACACGUAUAAAUGAGGGACAUUUGAACAUGCUCCUGAAUUGUGUUGCAACCACGACCCAAAAGCAUUCUGGGGCACACACGCUUGGAUACAAUCACAGUGUCUUAAAACAUAUUUAAGUAUGAAGAGCAAAAGGUUGAUAAAUUUCUUCUGGACACUCAUCUCAAGUGUGUGACACCAACUCAGCAGCUGUCACCAUUUUCAAGUUGCAGUGUCUUUAUGUCUGGUGCCCCACCCCAACAAGGUUUGCACACAACCUUUCAGAGAGGAAGAACAGAUACCUGCACUCAGGAGCGCUCAGUGUUGUAAGGGCUAUGCAGCACCCGACGUCAAAGAAAAUAACAGCAGCAUGUUGAAUAACUGGUUUGAUGUGUAUGUUUCACAUAGAUUAUUUUCAGUGGGUCAUCACCCUCCUGUUGUACACUGGUUUCCUAGAAGUGCCCUGAAACAGGCACGUUUGUGGUGAACAAAUAUGAACAUUCCUACAUUUAUCAAAUACAUAACAUUGAUGACACUAGAGAUUUAGCUUGUGUCUGAUUUCACUGCAUAGUCAGACCUGAACUGGAUAGAGAAUUGGUUAGACUUACUCUCAUUUAUAUUUGUUUGUUUUUGUCAGAUCUAUAAGAUACAAAUUGCUACUACAGAGACAAGAAUAAGACAAUGAGAUUUUUCAUCUCACAAAAAGAAAUAGCUGAUCAGGGUUUCACAGAGGGCACUGUGAUCUGCCUGUCUGACAUGCAUGGCCUUGUGUUAAAGAGACUUUUGAAAGUGUUCAUGCUGCUAUUUACUGGGUAUCAAAUUAUGUUUAUGUGCUUUUUAAGAGAAUAAUGUGAGUUUGCCUAUAAUCGCUGUAGAUAGUAUUGAGAUGCCUCAAACAAAGAGUAAAUGGAAAACUUUCGCAAUUCAUUU